This 90-nucleotide transfer RNA is filed under the name Holosporales bacterium. RNAcentral describes it as "tRNA-Ser". It matches the Rfam family "tRNA". From Rfam's summary of the family: Transfer RNA (tRNA) molecules are approximately 80 nucleotides in length. The record is from RNAcentral. Lineage: Bacteria; Pseudomonadati; Pseudomonadota; Alphaproteobacteria; Holosporales.
GGAGGGGUGGCCGAGCGGUUUAAGGCACCGGUCUUGAAAACCGGCAGGAAGGUAACUUUCUCGUGGGUUCGAAUCCUACCCCCUCCACCA